Long non-coding RNA from Armigeres subalbatus, 742 nucleotides. RefSeq lists it as uncharacterized. The record is from RefSeq and is a predicted model, not a curated record. NCBI's taxonomy places the organism in Eukaryota, Metazoa, Arthropoda, Insecta, Diptera, Culicidae. The transcript is spliced from 3 exons.
AAGGACACGAUCGAACAAUCUAUAGGUACAAAUUUUUACAACACAAAUACAUUUGGUUGGUGGAUCCAAGGUCAUGGGACCCUAAAAGAGAAGCCAUUCGAAGAACCAAAUCACUUUUAUUGGAGUGCUUGGAUGAAAUAGUUCGGUAUCGCAGAUUAUAAAUUUUAUUAUUCGCAGUGAAUAGCUGAUGGUGAAAUUCAAUUCUAAAAAUCAGUUCCUAAUUAGACGCUAAAUCCUUAAUUGUCGAAUAAGAAUAGGCACGAGUGUAAAAUAGUUAGGUCAAGAUCGAGGUUUCCCAUUAACGUGGGUGCUCGGUCGGAGCCCAUUGCCUCUAGGAAAGAGAGCGGGAAAGGCUAGUCGUCGGUGAAAAGUUUUUGUGAAUCGCCUUCGUGAAACCGUUUGGGAAAUCGGUAACCCGUACUACCCUAGAAGGGAGAAGCUUUCAAGGCAGCCUCGUCGAAUUGCCACCCCCCACCCGACGGAAAACUCGAUAGCUUAACGUUAAGCUCGAUUGGCGGCUGAUUCUAACCUCUCGUCAACGGACCGAGAGUAACCGAGUCGUGCACGUGUAACGCAUGCAAAGCUUCCUAGCCAGAACCUCAACCAGCCUCAGGUGUCGCAUCAUCGCCCGUCUCGCCGUAGAGGAAAGCUCACCGAAUGCAUCGGCGUGGCGUUAAAUAUAAAGGGUAUCGGAAAUCAGGUCAGUGAUCACUGUUAACAAGAAAAAUGAGCUCAAUAAGUU